This 511-nucleotide ribosomal RNA is filed under the name uncultured bacterium. RNAcentral describes it as "bacterial SSU rRNA". It matches the Rfam family "Bacterial small subunit ribosomal RNA", at positions 28 to 527 of the family's 1533-position model. The record is from RNAcentral.
GACGAACGCUGGCGGCGUGGAUUAGGCAUGCAAGUCGAACGGUAUCAUCCUUUCGGGGGUGAGAGAGUGGCGAACUGGUGAGUAACACGUAGGUUAUCUACCCUCAAGACGGGGACAACCCAGGGAAACUUGGGCUAAUACCGGAUGUGAGCAACUUUUAGUUGUUUGAAAGGUGGCGUAAGCUGUCGCUUGGGGAUGAGCCUGCGUCCUAUUAGUUAGUUGGUGAGGUAACGGCUCACCUAGGCAAUGAUAGGUAGGCGGCCUUAACGGGUGGUCGCCCACACUGGGAUUGAGAUACGGCCCAGACUCCUACGGGAGGCAGCAGUCGAGAAUAGUCUACAAUGGUCGGAAGACUGAUAGUGCGACGCCGCGUGAACGAUGAAUCCCUUCGGGGUGUAAAGUUCUUUUAUAUGUGAGCAGUGCUUCUUACUAUUAACAGUAUGGGGGAGAGAGAUAUUAGCAUAUGAAUAAGCAACGGCUAACUCCGUGCCAGCAGCCGCGGUAAACUACG